AGAUCCCUGCGGUGUGCGUGAUUACGGAUUUGUGUCUUGAGCCAAUACUCGUCCUCUUAGGAGGCUUACUCCAGCCCGAUGGUGGUGGCGCUUAGUCACUCGAGUUAAGGAUUGGGAGGCCUCCGCUUUUUUAGUAGAGCGGGUCAAGACCGUCCUGACACGGCAUUGCGGGGUUUUU
Molecule: non-coding RNA, 178 nt
Filed under: Synergistaceae bacterium
Lineage: Bacteria; Thermotogati; Synergistota; Synergistia; Synergistales; Synergistaceae
Description: 6S RNA
Rfam family: 6S / SsrS RNA
About the family: E. coli 6S RNA was the first non coding RNA to be sequenced, but its function was unknown until recently. It consists of 184 nucleotides that fold into an extended hairpin structure with a large single-stranded internal bulge.
Source: RNAcentral